Molecule: ribosomal RNA, 424 nt
Filed under: Acidobacteriota bacterium
Lineage: Bacteria; Pseudomonadati; Acidobacteriota
Description: Acidobacteria bacterium partial 16S ribosomal RNA
Rfam family: Bacterial small subunit ribosomal RNA
Source: RNAcentral
UGAGGAAUAUUGGACAAUGGGUGAGAGCCUGAUCCAGCCAUCCCGCGUGAAGGACGACGGCCCUCUGGGUUGUAAACUUCUUUUGUAUAGGGAUAAACCUUUCCACGUGUGGAAAGCUGAAGGUACUAUACGAAUAAGCACCGGCUAACUCCGUGCCAGCAGCCGCGGUAAUACGGAGGGUGCAAGCGUUAUCCGGAUUUAUUGGGUUUAAAGGGUCCGUAGGCGGAUCUGUAAGUCAGUGGUGAAAUCUCAUAGCUUAACUAUGAAACUGCCAUUGAUACUGCAGGUCUUGAGUAAAGUAGAAGUGGCUGGAAUAAGUAGUGUAGCGGUGAAAUGCAUAGAUAUUACUUAGAACACCAAUUGCGAAGGCAGGUCAAUAUGUUUUAACUGACGCUGAUGGACGAAAGCGUGGGGAGCGAACAGG